GACGAACGCUGGCGGCGUGCUUAACACAUGCAAGUCGAACGAAGUGGCGAACGGGUGAGUAACGCGUAAUCAACCUGCCCUUCAGAGGGGGACAACAGUUGGAAACGACUGCUAAUACCGCAUACUGAAGGAGGGGAUUGCGUCUGAUUAGCUAGUUGGAGGGGUAAAGGCCCACCAAGGCGAUGAGCAGUAGCCGGUCUGGGGGGAUGGACGGCCACAAUGGGACUGGUGCACGGCCCAGACUCCUACGGGAGGCAGCAGUGGGGAAUCUUUCGCAAUGGACGGAAGUCUGACGGAGCAACGCCGCGUGGGUGAUGACGGCCUUCGGGUUGUAAAGCUCUGUUAAUCGGGACGCGGUACCGGAAUAGAAAGCCACGGCUAACUACGUGCCAGCAGCCGCGGUAAUAC
Molecule: ribosomal RNA, 408 nt
Filed under: uncultured bacterium
Lineage: Bacteria
Description: partial 16S ribosomal RNA
Rfam family: Bacterial small subunit ribosomal RNA
Source: RNAcentral